AAAAACUUAAGAGAAGCCAGCACAAUCUGCACAAAGGGAAAAAUUAAGAAACCUCCUAUUUCUCUCUCUCGAUCUUGUGGAAACCCUAGGCAGUCCGAAACCCUUUGGCUCCACUUUGCCCCUUCGCCGAUGGUGCUCGCGGCAGAGGAGUUCUUCCAUGAGGAGGUUGAGCACCCUAUGUUCUAUAUGUUGCUCUGUUGCGUGUACUCCUCCUCCACUCCCUGUGUCAGCCCUAGCUCGAUCGAAGAGUGAUUUGGUGCUCUAUCUCGUUAAAGACAUUAUUUUAUUAAAGCACUUAACAAGACUGAAGUAAGGAGCAAGCACUGAGAAGAGGAAAAACACGCCAAUGAUGGAGGCUCAUUGCCUCGCUCAGCCUUAGAUCUACGACUUCAACCCCUUCGUCUCUUCAAUUCGAGGAGCCCCACAGUUGCCAUUAAGAAGUUGAAAUGAAAGUAUUACUCAUGGGAGAAGUGUUUGAAUCUCCAAGAAGUGAAGGUAGUUUGGAAUAUUAUAUUUAAGCAAAAAAAAAAACAUUUCCCUCUUCAUUAUUCUCAUCAAGAUGCAAAUUUUCUAGUCUUUACGAAGAUUAAACCAUCCCAACAUUGUCAAGUUCAAAGAGGUUAUUAGAGAGACUGAUAUGUUAUACUUAGUUUUUUAGUACAUGGUUGUUAUUUGAUGGUAUCAUCAAGUUUCAACUCCAUUGACAAUACAAAAUUUGAACAUGUACCCUGUAGAGAUUGCGGACGAAGAACAUUGAUAUGCGUUUCUAGAUCGAGCAAAAAUCUUGGGAGGAGGUAUUAUGGAUGUGCGUAACAUGGCUGGCAAAAGUGGGUGGUAGCUGAUACUUUAUCUAAUGAAGACAGAAGUGAAAUAUGUCGUGGAAGGUUAGGAAGAAUAGAGCCAAGGUUAGGCAGUAAAUACAUUGCUUCUCGAGGGCAUAAUCUAGGAAAUUGGAAUGCACCAUCAGUGGUCUGGAUAUUAGUUAUAGUGAAUUUAUUUUUUUUGGCUGUAUAUCUUAUUACUUUGUUAGUUCGGUCUUGCCAAUUAGUGUUGAGUAGUGUUGUUGUUGUAAUAUGACAGAUUAAAUAUUUGUAAUAAUCAUCUUAAGGCUAAUUGGUUUAUUAAUUUAGGUGGUUAAUUAGUGUUGACUAAUGUUGGUACUGUAAUGUGAUAGGAUAAUUUGUUUUUAGUUAAGAUGGAUAAUGCAGAACAUGUUAUAUAA
Zingiber officinale is the source of this 1222-nucleotide long non-coding RNA. RefSeq lists it as uncharacterized. The transcript is spliced from 4 exons. The record is from RefSeq and is a predicted model, not a curated record. Lineage: Eukaryota; Viridiplantae; Streptophyta; Magnoliopsida; Zingiberales; Zingiberaceae.